RNAcentral lists this microRNA precursor (200 nucleotides) under Oryza brachyantha (malo sina). Its description in RNAcentral is "MIR812 microRNA precursor family". It matches the Rfam family "MIR812 microRNA precursor family". Lineage: Eukaryota; Viridiplantae; Streptophyta; Magnoliopsida; Poales; Poaceae. The record is from Rfam by way of RNAcentral.
AACAAGUAUAUUUUUCAUUGUUUAUGUUCAAUACUUGAUCGUUUGUCUUAUCUAAAAAAUUAUGAUUAGCAUUUUUAUUAUUAUUAGAUGAUGAAAUGUGUAUAAUACUUUAUAUGUGACUUUUUUUUAUUUUUUUAUAAAAUUUUUAAAUAAGAUGAACGGUCAAACGUUGGACAUAAAAAUCUAUAAAUGCAGUUAUA